This 401-nucleotide long non-coding RNA is filed under the name Olea europaea (common olive). RNAcentral's name for it is "long non-coding RNA (OEUR_LNC001387)". Lineage: Eukaryota; Viridiplantae; Streptophyta; Magnoliopsida; Lamiales; Oleaceae. The record is from RNAcentral.
AAUUAUGAUCUUUUGCUCUAUCAGGGAGAGGAAAAAAGAAAACAAAGAACAGACCAGUUUUAUGUAGCUGAAGAAGACUAGAUAUCAAGUCUUAUUCGGCUUCUUUCCAACUAUGAAAACUCGGUUGGUCGUCAAAUGGAUGCUUGUUUAUCCUGGUAACCUUUCAUAAUCUAUGAUAUCCUGUCAAAGAGAGGGAUAUAGAAUUUUGCAAGUUCAUUGAUUGCCUUUCCUCAAUUGUUGAAAUCAUCAGUUCAAUUCAUAUAAUCUACAGCAACACGUGCCUCUCAUAGUUUAGUAAGUUCUUCCCAUGUCAUUGGUUUCAGGUAGGCCAUUUAACUUAAGCUGUCAGUUGUUCAUUGAGUUACAUAUGGGAUAUGGAGCUGAAACAAUGUGAAAAUUCC